This 546-nucleotide ribosomal RNA is filed under the name uncultured marine bacterium. Its description in RNAcentral is "bacterial SSU rRNA". It matches the Rfam family "Bacterial small subunit ribosomal RNA", at positions 18 to 573 of the family's 1533-position model. The record is from RNAcentral.
CCUGGCUCAAGACGAACGCUGGCGGUGCGCCUUAUGCAUGCAAGUCGAGCGAAGCUUUUCAGUAGUUUACUACAGAAAAUGACUGAGCGGCGAACGGGUGAGUAACGCGUGAGCAAUCUACCUUAGUUACAGGGAUAGCCCGAGGAAACUCGGAUUAAUACCUGAUAUUCUUUAUAUUUCGCAUGAAAUUAAAAGGAAAGGUCAGCCGAACUAAGACGAGCUCGCGUUCUAUCAGCUAGUUGGUGAGGUAAAAGCUCACCAAGGCUACGACGGAUAGCUGGUCUGAGAGGACGAUCAGCCACACUGGGACUGAGACACGGCCCAGACUCCUACGGGAGGCUGCAGCAGGGAAUAUUGCGCAAUGAGCGAAAGCUUGACGCAGCGACACCGCGUGUGGGAUGACGGAUCUAGGUUUGUAAACCACUUUCAGGAGGGAAGAAAAUGACGGUACCUCCACAAGAAGCCCCGGCCAACUACGUGCCAGCAGCCGCGGUAAUACGUAAGGGGCGAGCGUUGUCCGGAUUUAUUGGGCGUAAAGAGCUCGUA